RNAcentral lists this long non-coding RNA (8907 nucleotides) under Homo sapiens (human). RNAcentral describes it as "non-protein coding lnc-CAMSAP2-1:4". Lineage: Eukaryota; Metazoa; Chordata; Mammalia; Primates; Hominidae. The record is from RNAcentral.
GCCAACGCGCCCCGCACCCCCGUGCACUGGCGGGCCCUCCCCUCGGGCGUUGCCUCCCACCCACGCCCGGCGGCACCGCACCCCGAGGCGCUUCACGUCACGGAGCUGCUAGGAGACGGGCGGGGCUCCGGUUCCGGGUAGAGGCCUGGGACACGGGGAACUGUAAGGAUGGGAGGAAGGCCGCGCAGGGGCACCAGUUCUGCCGCCGCGGCCUAGCGCCCCAGGUCCCGGAGAAGGGGCACCAGGGCGGCCAGGGGCCCAAGCUUCCGGGGCACGCUCACCCGCGCAGGACUGAGGCCGCGUCCGCUCCCGCUCCCGCUCGGGCCGUCUCCCCCUUCCAGGCUCCAGGCCAGGCUUCCGCCCGACAAGCCCUGACCCGCUCGUCAGGACUGCGGCCCGGGGUUGGUGGUGCGGAGCGGAGCGGAGCGGAGCGUAGAGUAGAAUCCACUUCCCCGGGUUUUGGGAGGGGGCCGCAGCCCGCUUUCCGGGCGGCGGGGAGGCGGGGCCACCGCGGGGGCGGAGCUCGGCUGGGAGCCGGCAGUGGCUUGGGAGGGAGGGAGGGAGAAGGAGAGGGGCGGGAAGGCUCCUCGCGUUUUCCACGCCCCCGCCCAGCUCUGGGCUGGUGGUAAAUCUCGGAACUGGUCCGGGCUGGGCGAGUUCUGGACGGAGGGGCACGUUUGGGAAUCCUCUUGGAAGAAUUUACGUAAUCGAAUGGGCUGGGACUGGUGGAAAAGAGUUGGACCGUCCGGAAAGAAGCAGGAGGGCGGCGCGGGGGCCUGGCACCCUUAGAAAGUGGGAAGUGUGAGUGUAAAAGGGAGGGGCACUUCUGCCCGUUGGGCCCAAAAACCCUUUUCUGGCUUUAGCUAGUAGAGCCACUCAAAAUUUAAACGGAGUCAGCUUGAUGUGGCAUAUAUGAUAAGCUGGAUAAUAUUUCCUGCACCACCGCACCCCUCCCCCCACCCCAACACCAACAAGAAAAUAACACAAGUCACGGUUCUUGUUCCUUGUGGGCUGACAUUUCCCUGUUUUGCCAACCUCUGGAGCCACGUGUCCCAAGCAGCUUGUAGUUGAGAAGUGAUGGGGGAGAGGAGACAGCACGGGAGAGGAAGGAGGGAAGCCAGCUUAUAUUCAGGUGCCUUAAGUAUUUAAAAAUAUUUUCAGUGUAAUAGUCGAUGCAUUCAAAAGAGCAUAUUUACCAAAUAUGUAAAAUUUAAAGUAUGCUAAUGAAACUAUCACUCCACCACGUUAUCAGUAUUUAGCAUGUAUCUAUGCAUCUCCAGGAUUCUACUCCUGGCCUCUUAGCUCACCACCACUAUCUUCAGUUUUGUCCCUCUUUGCCAUUUUUAGUGGUUUUAUCAUAUUUGGAUGCAUUCCUGUGUAUUGGUGUAUUUUUCUUCUUUUUGAGCUUUAUAAAAAUACAUAUAGCCUGGAAUUCGCUUUUUAUCACUCAACAUUUGUUUUUUUGGUUCAUCCAAGUUGUUACGUGUAGUAACAGAACAUUUAUUUCUUACUGCCUAGUCAAAAGGAAGUUUUCUCCUGUCAGGAAUGUAUUCAAUACUGUAGCGGAUAGGAUUAUAAAUGCACUUUAAGUAUUUUCUUUAUUGAUGGGAACCACACAGACUAAAUGUAUCAGACUUCCCAAGUUCGUAGGUCACAUACCUAUAACAGAACUCUUUUCCUGGGUUUUGUGACAUUUCUAAUUGUUGUAAUUUCUUUUGCCAUUAUAAAAAUUAGUCACUUUUGAACCUAAUUUGUAUUCAUCAUUCUGAAUCUUUUUCUUUAAAAGCCUCCUCUUUUCCAAUUAUAUAAGCUCAUACCCCAUAAAACCUGAAUCUGCCCCUAGUAAUUACUAAUAAGGCUAGUAGGAGCAUUCUUGUUCACCUUCUGUGCAUGCGCUGGACUCUAAUUUGAACCUAGGAUUAGCACUGCGGCAUCAGAGGCUAUGGGGGCUGUUCAGCUUUCAAAGAUAAAGCAGAAAUGUUUUCAAAGUGGUUGUACCAAUCUAUACUGCCACCAGUACCGACCACAAUUCUCUCUAAAUCCUCGUUAUUUUCACACUUCUUACUUUUUGCUAGUCUACCCAGAAUAAAUACCAUGUUUUUGUCUUAAUUUGCAUUCCGUAAUUACUGAUAAGGCUGAGCACUUUGAAAUAUGUUAUUCAUUCAUGUUUUCUCUUCCUCUUCUAAGGAUGUGUGUGUGUGUACAUAUAUAAAUGUAUAUAUAAUGUAUAUAUGUAUAUAUAAUGAAACAUUCUUUUGUUAAUUGUAGGUGUUGCAGAUAUCUUCUCCCUGUUUAUAGUGUGUUUUCAAAUAAAAAAAUUUUUUGACUUAUUUUGAAAAAAUCAACCUUAUCAAAAAGUUUCAGAAUUAAUGAACUCCUGUAUACCCUUCACAUAAGUUCACAGUUUGCUAUAUUUGCUAUAUUAGUGUGUAGGAGAGAUUAUAUAUAUAAAAUAUGUAUACUAUAGAUAUAUAUUUUUUUCUGAACCAUUUAGGAGUAAGUUGUAGCAUGUGUCUCCAAAGACAAUGAUAUUCUCUUUUAUACUCACAGAAAAAUGUUCCAGUUGAGGUUGUUUGUUUUUUGAGACAAGGUCUCACUCUGUUACCCAGGCUGGAGUGCAGUGGUGCGAUCUCGGCUCAUUGCAACCACCUCCCGGGCUCAAGUGAGGCUCCCACCUCAGCAUCCCGAGUAGCUAGGACUACAGGCACACCCCACCUGUUAGAGAGAAUUUUUUUGUUGUUAGAGAUGGGGUUUUGCCAUGUUGCCCACGGUGGUCUCCAACUGCUAGGCUCAAGCUAUCCACUUGCCUUGGCCUCCGAAAGUGCUGGGAUUACAGGUAUGAGCCACUGGGCCUGGCUCAAAUUUAGGUAGUUUAACAUUGAUGAAGUAAGAGUAGCUAGGACUACAGGCACACCCCACCUGUUAGAGAGAAUUUUUUUGUUGUUAGAGAUGGGGUUUUGCCAUGUUGCCCACGGGGGUCUCCAACUGCUAGGCUCAAGCUAUCCACCUGCCUUGGCCUCCGAAAGUGCUGGGAUUACAGGUAUGAGCCACUGGGCCUGGCUCAAAUUUAGGUAGUUUAACAUUGAUGAAGUACGAGUAGCUAACAUGCAGUCCUUAUUGAAAAUUUACUAGUUGUUCCAUUAAGGUGUUUUAGAGCUAUUUUUUUCCCCUAAUCCAGGAUUCAGUCCAAGAUCUUUUCAUUUUCUUUAUGAAGUGUUUUUUUUUCUCUGUUUUUUUUUUUUUUUUUUUUUGAGACGGAGUCUCUCUCUGUCGCCCAGGCUGGAGUGCAGUGGGGCGAUCUCGGCUCACUGCAAGCUCCGCCUCCCGGGUUCACACCAUUCUCCUGCCUCAGCCUCCUGCGUAGCUGGGAGUACAGGCGCCCGCCACCACGCCCAGCUAAUUUUUUAUAUUUUUUAGUAGAGAAGGGGUUUCACUGUGUUAGCCAGGAUGGUCUCGAUCUCCUGACCUCGUGAUCCGCCCGCCUCGGCCUCCCAAAGUGCUGGGAUUACAGGCGUGAGCCACCGCGCCCGGCCUUUUUUUUUUUUAAAGAGACAGGGUCUUCCCUCUGUCACUCAGGCUGGAGUGCAGUAGCCCGAUAAUGCUCUAUGGCUAGUCUAUGGUCAAUUUUCAUAUAUUUUUAAAACCAGAGAAGAAUGUUUAUUCACCAUUAGAUAGAUACAUGAUACUUGCAAAUAAAUCAAGCUUGGUAUUUCAGAUAUUCUAUAUCUUUACUAAUGUUCAUGUUCAGAUUUCCCCAUCAGUAUUUCCCCGUCAGUAUUUCUCUUACCUGUUAGUAGAUAAAAUAGAUCAAGCAAUCAGUCUCCCAUUAUAAAGGUAGAUGUGUUCAUUUUUCCCUGUAGUCCAGCAAUUUUAGUUUUGUGUAUUUUGGGGGCCAUUUUAUUUUAGAAUCAAUAUUUGUAAAGCAAUUCAAGCAUUAAUGUGUCAUGGAAUCUUAGGUUUGAAUGCAUUCAUCAGAGUCCAAUCACCACCCCUUGCUACUCUCCAUACCCUUGUAGGAGGAAUUAUUUUAUAGCACCCUGCUACAGGACCAACUGGCUUGUUGAAUGCUUUUAGAGACAGGGCGCUUCCCACCUUACAGGGCAGUCCAGUUCUUCACUGGAGAGCUCCAUGAUUAUACUUACUAUUUAAUUAGACUCUCUAUGGCUAGGCAUUGUGCAAAGCAUUUUAGAAACAUUGUCAUAUUUAAUUCUCACUGUAAUCUUAUAAAGUAGGCAUUUUAUCCCCAUCGUACUAAUGAAGAAACAGGUUUAGGUAAUUAAGCAUCUUGCCCAAGGUCACACAGCUAGGUAGUGGCACAGCAGGAAUUGAAGCCCAGGUCUGUCUCCUAAAUCCACUAGACUACACUGCCUUCAAGCUUUUCUUUAUGUAAGUAUAAAACCAUAUCCCUUUAACUUUCAAUCAGGAAACCUGGUUCCAAAACCAUUUUUAGUGUUCCUAAACUUCCUAAUCUGUUGGAAACCUUAGACAUAACUCACAUUCAUGUGUUCCAUUACUGUGCCCAACUUUCCUUAGUUUUCUUAUGGAAGCUUUAGACCUUUGCUAUAUGUUUGUAUUAUUGUUACUUUUGGAAAAGUAGCCAAUCUUGAUGAGCAGGAUGAUUCAUUCUGAAUGAAUGAAUGAAUGAAUGAAUGAAGCCUAGUGAGUAGCAACUCAUUUCUACAUAUGAGUUAGGAUGCUGGAUGAAACCUAAUUUUUAACAUCAAGUUCUUCACCUUUCAAGGUUAAUAAGUCAAACCUCAGAGCCACUCAGGUCUCACUUGUGGCUCUUUCCUACUCUUUUCUUUAAUCAAAAAGCUCAGAAUCAGGUUUCCUCUUAGGUUGCACCAGAGCACAGUAUAAUUAAUCUAAACUCCCAUUUCUGUUUUCUUCACAAAAGAUCUUCACGGAAAUGGUUUUAUGAUGGUCUUUUAAUUGUGGGGCCACAGAAAACAUUAUUUAUAGUAGGUCACAUGGAAAUCACAGAUGGCGUUACUAAUUCAAUUUUAAUAUGCUUUAUGGCAGGGAGGGAUGGGAAAGUAUACAAAGGUGACUCAAUUAGACAAGAGUUGUGGAAUGCAUACAUCCUACAUAACCAUUCUAAGAGUUUGCCUUAAGCUGUGUCUUAGAACAGGAAAUGCUGCAAUAAUGUGAGCUGACCUGUAUGUUAUUCUCAUGUGCUGUUGAAACAUGUAUAGAAAUAAUAAUGCCUAGCAUUCUUUCAUCUUGGGAAACUUCAGUCUCACACGUAUUAGUUUAUAGCUACUCCUUACUCUUUAAUAUGUGAGGCUUGGAAAGCCCGUAUAAAUUCUGAUCAAGGUGGAUACAGGAAAGCACAGUUUAAUAGUAUUUAACUGCCAUUGAUUUUUUUUUUCCACUUGUAUCAUCACAAUGAAUCAGAUCAGAACUUGGACCUCAGUACUUUUUCUGCCUUUGGCAUCUUUUCCUGAUAAGUAGUAUGACCAAGUAUUCAAAUUCUAAGAAUUGAACUAUUUACUCAUUCAACAGAUUUACGACAUUUGCCAUGUGCCUAGAACUGGGAAUAUAAUGAUGAAAUAGGAAGUCAUAGUCUUUGCCCUCACCAAGCUUCCAGCAGGCAGGUGGAGGAGGGAGACAGACAAUUCCACAGUAAGUGCGGAUAAGGGAAUUACAGGGUUUCAUAGGAAUGUAAGGAUGGGUACAUAAGCCAGACCUGCUGAAUCAGGGAAAGCUUCCCAGAGGAAAUGGCAUCUAAACUGAGAUCUAAAAGCUGAAGAGGAAUUGGGACAAUUAAAAUAGGAAAAAGAAGAGGAAGGAAAGGCCCAAAGUGAGAUAUAGCACAUCCAAGGAACUGAAAUAAGUUAGAUAUUAGUCUUCUUAGAUCAAGUUAUACUGCAGCAACAAAUGACCCCAAAAUGUCAGUAGCAUUUAACAGCGAAGAUUUAUUUCUUUAUGCUGCAAUAUGGAGAAAUGAUAGUGGGGGAUGCUAAAAUAUGGAGAGAAGAAUGUAGAGGGUAAAACCGAGGUAGGAACCUGAGGCAAUAUUUCAGCCUGAAGAGGAGCGUGGCCUGAACUUUAGGGUAGCCUGAAUUAGUGGCAGUGGAGAAAAAGAGAAGUAGACAGAAUCAAGAGAUAAAGAGAAAGUUAGGUCAAUAGUUCUUCUUGAUAGAUAGGACGUGGAGGGUGAAGGAGAUAGAGUCAUGGUUGACACUCAAGUUCAAUAGGUCAAUAGUUCUUCUUGAUAGAUAGGACGUGGAGGGUGAAGGAGAUAGAGUCAUGUUUGACACAAGUUCAAUACGCACUACAUAGCUUUAUAGUAACCACAAAACAUGAUGAUGAAAACUUUUAUAGAGAGGAAUUUAAUACUUACGAUAACAUGAUAAACAUUUUAAUGUAAUAAUUUUAGAAAUGUCAUCCUACUAAUCUCAUAUACAUCAUAGAGUUUGUGAUCUCAGUGAUCAGUAUUAUUUUUUCUGCUCAAACUCCUGGUACAGAUACAUUCACAGAAGUACGUAAUUCUUGUCAGCAAAGCUUCUGGGAUGACAAUUUAGGAGAUGCCGAAUUAAAAUGAGGUCUAUUUUACCACUCUACAUUCAUCCUAAAACUUGAACUUAGAAAGAUGUCAUUGAAUGUUUAGAAAAAUAGACCGCUGCUGAGCUAUAAAAUCUACCUUUGUAAACUUUAGCAAAGGAAGGCUCAGGCAGGUUUCACUAGAUUCAAUAUUGCAAGGCUGUCAUACUCUGAGGACAUCAUAUAUGAGCUAUGACCAUUAGCAUACUUAGAAACCUGCUGCCAAUAUGACCAGGCGUGGUGGCUCAUGCCUGUAAUCCCAGCACUUUGGGAGGCCGAGGCGGGUGGAUCAUCUGAGGUCAGGAGUUCGAGACCAGCCUGGCCAACAUGGUGAAACCCCAUCUCUACUAAAAAAUACAAAAAUUAGCUGGUCGUGGUGGCAGGCACCUUAAUCCCAGCUACUUGGGAGGCAGAGGCAGGAGAAUCGUUUGAACCCAGGAGGCGGAAGUUGCAGUGAGCCAAGAUAAAGCCAUUGCACUCAAACAUGGGGACAAGAGCGAGACUUCUCUCAAAAAAAAAAAAAAAAAGAAACCUGCUGCCAAUAUGCGUUAAUUUUCCAGAGGAAAAAGUAUUGUGCUGGAUUCUCCCUUUCAAGAUUAGGCAUGUUCAUGGGACAUUAAACUUUCAAAAAAUGAAGAGAAGAGCAUCUUAGGUUUUCCCAAGGCAACUCUAAAUUUCUCAGCAGGGGACAAAUCAAGAGCACCAAUUUGGAUAUUCUUUUAUCUGGUAACAACCUCCUUUUCUUCCAGCUUUACUUUGUUCAACUUCUCCCGUCAUGAUCAUUUUCAAUCACACUGGGACCAUUAGUCUAUUAAUUUCUCUCCCAACAUGUCUGUCAUCUUCUGUCUUCCUUUUGCAUCUUAUCCCACUUAUAUUGUGUACUUUCAGGAUUUAUUUCAGCACUGCAACGAGCCUUAGAUAUUUUACUGAAAUCAGAAAUGUUCCAGCACUGCACAGAUGGCUGUACUGAUUAAGAGUGUUGUUUUGUAACCAUGGGCUAAGGAGUUGAUCCUCUGGCAUCUUCCAAAGGUGACCUAUGAGCGUGUGUGUUUUUUUUUUUCCUUAAUCACUAUGGACUCAAGGAUUUUUUUUUUCUUUUUUUUGAGACAGAGUUUCACUCUGUCACCCAGGCUGGAGUGCAAUGGCACGAUCUCGGCCCACUGCAGCCUCUGCCUCCCGGGUUCAAGCGGUUCUCCCCCCUCAGCCUCCUGAGUAGCUGGGAUUACAGGCAUCUGCCAUCAUGCCCAGCUAAUUUUUGUAUUUUUAUAGAGAUGGAGUUUCAGCAUGUUGGCCAGGCUGGUCUUGAACUCCUGACCUCAGGUGAUUCGCCCGUCUCAGCCUCCCAAAUUGCUGGAAUUACAGACGUGAGCCACCGCGCCUGGCAGACUCAAGGAUUUAUUUUAUUUAAUUUAUUUUUUGAGACAGGAUCUUGCUCUGUUGUCCAGCUGGAAUGCCGUGGCAUGACUUAGGGUCACUGCAGACUUGACCUCCCUGACUCAAGCGAUCCUCCUGAGUAGCUGGGACUAUAGGCACAGUACCAUGCCCAGCUAAUUUUUUAAAAAAUUUUUUGUGGAGAUGUGUUUCUCACUAUGUUGCCCAGGCUGGUCUCCAUCUCCUAGACUCAAGUGAUCUUCCUGCCUGUGCCUCCCGAAGUGCUGAGAUUACAGGUGUGAGUUACUGUGUGAGGCCAGACUCAAGAAUGUUUAACAUAUUUGAUGCAUUUCAGUUAAUUGCACUUACUAUUCUUUGUGAAGCUUAAAUUGUCCCAUCUUUGACAGUGGGAACCUCUUCAAGGUGGCUUUAGGGUCUUUUUGACACAUAAAACCCAGUAGUCUUUGAAAGUUUCCUUGCUUUCUGGUGUGAUGGAGCUUGUUCCCAGCUCAUCUUACUUUUUUUUUUGAGUUGGAGUCUCGCUCUGUCGCCCAGGCUGGAGUGCAGUGGUGGGAUCUUGGCUCAUUGCAACCUCCACUUCCCAGGUUGAAGCGAUUCUCCUGCCUCAGCCUCCUGAGUAGCUGGGACUACAGGCACAUGCCACCAUGCCCGGCUAAUUUUUGUAUUUUUAGUAGAGACGGUAUUUCGACGUGUUGGCCAGGCUGGUCUCGAACUCCUGACCUCACAUAAUCCACCCACCUCGGCCUCCCAAAGUGCUGGGAUUACAGGCGUGAGCCACCACGCCUGGCCCAUCUUACAUAUUUUUGUCCCAGACUGAGAAUCAGCCAUUUCUAUCAGGAGCCUGGGUUUCUGAUUCCCUUUGACAGAAAAUGGUAUUUAUAGGCCACAGCCUAGGCAUGAGAGAUGCUAAUUGCUACUAAAUUGGUUAUGGUUUCUAAGCCUUUUUAGUGGACAGAGCUCAGACAUUCU